RNAcentral lists this ribosomal RNA (288 nucleotides) under uncultured prokaryote. RNAcentral describes it as "partial 16S ribosomal RNA". It matches the Rfam family "Bacterial small subunit ribosomal RNA", at positions 524 to 815 of the family's 1533-position model. The record is from RNAcentral.
UACGUAGGGGGCUAGCGUUAUCCGGAAUUACUGGGCGUAAAGGGUGCGUAGGUGGUUUCUUAAGUCAGAGGUGAAAGGCUACGGCUCAACCGUAGUAAGCCUUUGAAACUGGGAAACUUGAGUGCAGGAGAGGAGAGUGGAAUUCCUAGUGUAGCGGUGAAAUGCGUAGAUAUUAGGAGGAACACCGGUGGCGAAGGCGGCUUACUGGACUGUAACUGACGCUGAGUCACGAAAGCGUGGGGAGCAAACAGGAUUAGAUACCCCCGUAGUCCCUGAGCGGGCUGGCAA